RNA transcript from Monomorium pharaonis (pharaoh ant), 3278 nucleotides. It is a transcript of the gene named katanin-interacting protein, with no coding region annotated. Lineage: Eukaryota; Metazoa; Arthropoda; Insecta; Hymenoptera; Formicidae. The transcript is spliced from 15 exons. The record is from RefSeq and is a predicted model, not a curated record.
UAUUUUAUUAUCAUAUAGGGAUAAACAUAAUAAGUAGUCGUGCAAGUGCGCACGCGCGCCUUAGACAUUACAGUUUAAUAUAAAAUUUCGUGCAUAAGCUUCUACAUACAUUAGAAAGGUUUCUAUGGUGACAAUACCAAACAAAGCAAGAAUCGAGCGAGCUGACAAUGGAUAAGUAUUUUUCACCGGUCAUUAUUAGUCUUGAACAAGCAGUUAAACAAUCUGAGAUCUGUGUAAUUCAGUCAUAAAAAUUAAUAUAUAAAUUUUUGAAACAUGAAAAAAUUGUUAUUGACAAUUUUUCGAUAAAACGGAUUUAUAUAUGUGUGUGGUAAGCUAUUGUUGAAAGUGAGUUUGAGCUGUGACAUGCGACAACAUUAUCAGCGACGAAGUAAGAAGUAAUAAAGUAUGGAUAAUGUUACAUGUGACAAGACAGAGACUAAAACUGCACCCUUGGCUGCCAUGCUUAAAAUGCCAUCGUGGUUGUUGGAGAUGUCUGAGUAUGUAGUUAUUUCAUGUGUAUUUUUCAUCUUUUUAAGAAUAACUAUGACAUUGUUCUCUACCUUUCGUUCUCAUGUCUCGUAUACACUUUAUAUUAGCAAUAUAGAAAAAAUUACUAUAAGUAACGAUGCCAAAUCGCUGCAAAUGGAAACAUUUUUAAUUGAUGAUCAGAAUUAUUUUAAAAAUAUCACCAUCAAACGAGAAGAUGACGAUACAAUGAAUGAACCUAGCGCAAGUUUAAGCAGUCUUUAUUUUGAUGCUAAUAUCAAAUUACAAACGCCCACGAGCAAAUCACUGCCAAAUACACCAAAGAGUGAACAAGUUAAACAGAAAAAAAUACGCGCCUGUUCUGCCGUAGUAAAUACGAAACAUACAAAGGACGAUUUUUAUGGAUUGGAUGCGUACUUGGAGAGAAAACAGAUGGCAAAACACAGCAUGUAUUUGCCGUCCGAAAAUUAUAACAACGCAAAGGCUCACGAAGAAUCUUCCUUUGAAUAUCAAAUACUGAAUGUUCCGAAUCGUGCAGAUACACGGUUAUAUUUGUCGGAUGAUAAUUAUCCUAACAAUUCCAAUUUUAUCAAACAUAACGAAGGAAAGCUAAAAUUAUUAUCUGAUAAACUUUACAAAAAUUUUAUUAUUCCCGAACUACCAUCCGGAGACUCGUUGGUUAUUGAUAUUCUCUCUACCUGGGGUGACAAACAUUAUGUAGGCCUCAAUGGUAUAGAAAUCUUUUCAAAUACCGGAGAACCAGCCAGAAUAAAAGAGAUACGCGCAAAUACAACAAGCGUUAAUCAAUCGUACGAUCAAAACAAUGAUCGCAAUCCUUAUAUUAUAAAUAAUUUAAUUAAUGGCACUAAUCGAACGAGAGACGAUGCAAAUUUAUGGCUAACACCUUAUUCAAAUGGUGACCAUCAUUACGUUUACAUGAUAUUUGAAUUCACGAUUACUGUAGCAAUGAUCAGAAUAUGGAAUUAUAAUAAAUCUAGAAUACAUUCCUUUAGAGGAGCCAAAGAUAUUAUUAUUAAAUUGAAUGAUACUAUCAUCUUUUACGGAGAAAUUGCUAAAGCUUCAGGGGAUGAUGUGGGUAGUCUCGAUUCUUUUGGAGAUACUAUAUUAUUUACGACGGACGAAAACAUUCUGGAAUUGAUAUCAAAACAUGAUAAUACUUUCAUAGAAUUCAAUAAUGGAACGUCAGAUUACGAAGAGCAAGAAAUGAUUCGCCCUAUAACGGCCACAACGAUCAAUGAUAUUAUCUCAGCGAGAUGUAAAAUUAACGAGAAUCCUAUCGAGAAUUCUUCAAACUUGAAUAUCAAUAAGAAAAUUUACGAUAUCAAUCUUACCGCUCUAUCUUGCAGAGAGAUUCAGUUAAUUAUCAUUUCUAACUGGGGUUUACAACAUUUGAUUGGACUCACCGGUAUAGAAUUAAUCGGGGAUCAAGGUACAGCAGUCCCAUUAACAAGUACCAACUUGCAUUGUGACGCAACCGAUACGCAUUUAACGAAAUUGAUCAAUGGACACAAUGUUACUACUGAAAUGGAUUACAUGUGGCUAGCGAAUGUAACAUUAAACAAGAGGAUUACGAUAACCAUUGCUCUCGAUACGGAUGUGCAUCUAACAGGAAUGCGAAUUUGGAAUUACAAUGCAUCCUUGGAGUUGUCUUAUUGCGGAAGAUACAUUCUCUUUGCACAGGUAAAGCAGAUGCUUAUUAAAAUAGAUGGCAAACAAUUAUAUGACGAAAAUUCUGACGGGUUCCUGUUAAGACGCGCGCCGGGAUCUUGCCAUUAUGAUUUUGUUCAAGAAAUUUGUUUCGUUAAUCCACCUACUCGACAACAUUUUUCGGGCCUCAUCUCCGAUUCGGUUGAAUCGCUCGAAGAACAAGAGUCUUUUGAUUCCAACUAUGAAGCUCCGUCGAUGCCGCGCGGAUUCGUUUAUCAAAUAAUUAUUUUCUCUACGUGGGGCGACUCUUAUUAUGUUGGCCUCAAUGGAAUACAGAUGUAUGACAAUUAUGGAAACGAAAUCGAAUUAACUACAGACAAUAUAGCCGCAUUUCCAGAAAGCGUCAAUAUAAUAAAAGGGAUAGACAACGACAUUCGUACGCCGGAUAAACUCGUCGAUGGUAUAAAUGAUACUAGAGACGGACGGCAUGCCUGGCUGGCUCCUAUACUUCCUGGACAAACAAAUCGCGUGUAUUUAAUAUUUUACCAUCCCAUAAUAGUAUCAAUGAUAAAGAUCUGGAAUUAUGGGAAAACCCCACAAAGAAGAGUCAAAGAAUUUGCAAUACUAGUAGAUGACUUGCUAGUUUACAAUGGAAUGUUGGAUAAACACAACUUAUACGGAUUGGUAAUGUUUGUAAAGGAAAACAGCAAUGAAACUCUAAUGAAUCGCUCGGAGCAAAGUCUUCUUUUAAACCUAAGAAGAAAUACCUCGGCUAAGGUCCUUGGAUUUAUCUAUUCAUAAAAACAAAGUUGGAAAAAGUUGAGCUGUUUCUCCGAAAAAUCUUUCCAGAAAUAGACGAUCAAAGCACCAACAUUAUAAAAUUAUCAAGCAACUUAUUUCGCUGUACUACUUAACAAAAAGAGGUCCAGUACGUUUCCUCGCCCUCGGUGACGAUUGUUUCAAACACUCCAUAUCAUUAAAUAUCACUUGUGCUCCACCACCACUCGUUGGCAAUAUGUCGCCCUGUUUAAAAGAAAAAUCAAGUUGUAAAGAUCAACUUUUAUUUAAAAAAGUGUAAUAAAGAAAUCAUGAAAAUUGCGAAUAAUAAAAAUUCUUGUGAAUAC